UCGACCUGAACUCAGGCAUGAUUACCCGCUGAACUUAAGCAUAUCAGUAA
RNAcentral lists this ribosomal RNA (50 nucleotides) under Heterodera sp. OK14. RNAcentral's name for it is "partial 28S ribosomal RNA". The record is from RNAcentral. Lineage: Eukaryota; Metazoa; Nematoda; Chromadorea; Rhabditida; Heteroderidae.